This is a small nuclear RNA of Carcharodon carcharias (great white shark), 110 nucleotides long. RefSeq annotates it as U5 spliceosomal RNA. Lineage: Eukaryota; Metazoa; Chordata; Chondrichthyes; Lamniformes; Lamnidae. The transcript has a single exon. The record is from RefSeq and is a predicted model, not a curated record.
ACUCUGGUUUCUCUUCAGAUCGUAUAAAUCUUUCAACUUUUACCAAAGAUUUUCCGUGGAGAGGAGCACUCAGCUUAAAUGGAUUUUUUGUGGCCCUGCUUUAGUGGGGC